RNAcentral lists this ribosomal RNA (571 nucleotides) under Pseudomonas sp. SA067. RNAcentral's name for it is "bacterial SSU rRNA". It matches the Rfam family "Bacterial small subunit ribosomal RNA", at positions 80 to 647 of the family's 1533-position model. Lineage: Bacteria; Pseudomonadati; Pseudomonadota; Gammaproteobacteria; Pseudomonadales; Pseudomonadaceae. The record is from RNAcentral.
UUGCUCUCUGAUUCAGCGGCGGACGGGUGAGUAAUGCCUAGGAAUCUGCCUGGUAGUGGGGGACAACGUCUCGAAAGGGACGCUAAUACCGCAUACGUCCUACGGGAGAAAGCAGGGGACCUUCGGGCCUUGCGCUAUCAGAUGAGCCUAGGUCGGAUUAGCUAGUUGGUGAGGUAAUGGCUCACCAAGGCGACGAUCCGUAACUGGUCUGAGAGGAUGAUCAGUCACACUGGAACUGAGACACGGUCCAGACUCCUACGGGAGGCAGCAGUGGGGAAUAUUGGACAAUGGGCGAAAGCCUGAUCCAGCCAUGCCGCGUGUGUGAAGAAGGUCUUCGGAUUGUAAAGCACUUUAAGUUGGGAGGAAGGGUUGUAGAUUAAUACUUUGCAAUUUUGACGUUACCGACAGAAUAAGCACCGGCUAACUCUGUGCCAGCAGCCGCGGUAAUACAGAGGGUGCAAGCGUUAAUCGGAAUUACUGGGCGUAAAGCGCGCGUAGGUGGUUUGUUAAGUUGGAUGUGAAAGCCCCGGGCUCAACCUGGGAACUGCAUUCAAAACUGACAAGCUAGAGU